GGUGGAAGAAAUGACAGAGGGUCAGAGCAGAUUCAGGCACAUGACAGUUGAAAUGGGAGCAGAACAGGAAAGCUCUCUGCUUUUUAUGCACCCAGGUCCAGAAAGCAUUGUAACAUGUCCCAGCCCACUCCUUUGGGAAGGAUUCAGAGCCCAAAAGCAGCCAGGUAAAGACACCAAAACAUCAACAAUGUUUUCAAAUACCCUGAAAUCUGUCUUCUUUUAAAACAGCCCUUGCAUCUGCUGUUCAGGCCUGAGGACAGCCCAGUUUUAUUCAUGCUUCUCUUCCACAACAUUUCUCCUGUCAAGUCUGAAGACCUGCUCUGACCACCCUGGGGUGGCUGUGACACAUCACACCCUAGGGAACAAAGCCAUUUCUAACUAACAGCCUGCAGCAGGAAGAGGAAACAAGCUGGUGAAGAACACAGGGUUUGAAAGAGGUGGCAGCACUACCAGAGCAGAAGCACAAGAAGCCAAAGACCCAAAAUCCAAGAAAUGUAGGAAAACAAGUCUGGAGACCUGCUGCAGUCUAAGACACAGUAAUCUCACCUGCACCAUUUCAGAAAUAAAAGCCUGUUUCAAAAACAAAGCCAAAGGACUUGACCAUUGGCUCUUGCUUUAAAAAGUGAAAACACCUAGAAUAUUUUUACAAUAUUUUCAAAUUUCAAACUUCAACAACUAGAACAGUUAGCAUAGGACUGACUCGACUCAUUGACACAACAGAUUUGAAGUUAGCAGUUGAUAGCAUCAGUUUUUAGAGACUCGCCCCCCUCAAAUGAUACCUGGGGAACGGUGGAAGGGUGAAAAGCAUGAAGGCAUCUUACAAAGCCCUUUUUUCCCACCAUAGCCCCACAAUACCUGUCAGUAUGAAGAUGAGAUGAAGGAAGCAAAAAAGUGACAAGUGUUUCAAGAGUACCAGCAGCUCCAUCAGCUGAUGUUCUCAAAGCCACCCAGCUGAAAUGGGCGCUAUCUGCAGGCAUCUAAGAGCCCCUGAGAUGGGCCAAAACACCAUGUCCAAACAGGACAAUAACUGACAAAAUAAGAGAAAUCACAAAAUUUGGCUCUUUUCAGUGUUUCACCACGAGCAGCCUCCAAAACUUUUAACCCCACUUGGUAUGUUACUGUAUCAGGGUUCCUGUAUAAAUGCAAACUGAUACAAUGCUCCAGAGCUGCACAUCAAACAAUUCCCCAGCCAAGCAGGUGCAGGAGGAAAGACUGUGGACACCAUCUGCCCACUGGUACUUCAGACAGAAGUUGAUCCAGACGAAGUUCUCUGCUGACACUUACCUCUCCCACCCCCAUUUCCAUGGGAACAGACACUGCAUCAGCCAAGACAAAGCAAGAACUACUAACCCAGCUCACGUUGCCAAAGACAGAGCCAAUGCAAACGAGUGAGAGGAAAUUAAUGCCAGUUCUUAGUCUCCUGUUU
This is a long non-coding RNA of Cyanistes caeruleus (blue tit), 1426 nucleotides long. RefSeq lists it as uncharacterized. NCBI's taxonomy places the organism in Eukaryota, Metazoa, Chordata, Aves, Passeriformes, Paridae. The record is from RefSeq and is a predicted model, not a curated record.